This 798-nucleotide unclassified non-coding RNA is filed under the name Gigantopelta aegis. RNAcentral describes it as "uncharacterized LOC121368373, transcript variant X1". Lineage: Eukaryota; Metazoa; Mollusca; Gastropoda; Neomphalida; Peltospiridae. The record is from RNAcentral.
GUGAAGGUUAAAGUACUCAGCUGUGACAUUAAAGUACGGCUAAUAAAGUCCACAGACGGUCUGCACUGCUGAUCAAUACACUAGAAGUCGGAAGAAGACAACACGUGGCACUGUAAGUCAUGGCGGCCAAGGCAAGCCUGUCAUGGUGUAUUUUAAUGAGUGUUUUAAUGUCCACAAGCGGGAGAAAGAUCUCUUAUGGGACAUUUAAGAUGGGCUUGAGCUGAGAUUUUGGCGAUCGGUUCCCUUCGGUUGUACAGUUCAGAUCGGAAGCAUUACUUUAUGCGCCAGCCCUGUUAACUGAAGGGGACAGAGACACCAAAGACCCGCACAUUUUACUCCUAGACGACAAAAAGCAUCCAAUUUAUAGAAUAGACCUCAAUCAUCUUAACCUAGAAGAUAUUCGAACCAUGUUGAGAGACAUUGGCUUCUAUAGGAAAUCUGGUUAUACAGCCGACAUUCCCGCAGAAUAUGACAGUGGUGUUUCUCCGCCGCCAGAUGGCGCAACGUUUGAUAUAUUGACUUCCGGGAAAUCAAAAUGGUCGAAACAUGGGCGCAUAAUAGUCGGAUAAACAAAGCCAACGACCGUGUGACAACCACAUACACGAACCGUUCAUUUUAUGAAGUCCAUGGCGGAAAAUGAUGUUUAAUCGUAGCUCUGGAUGGAGAAAUAACUGAAUGAUGGUGUUGUGUGUGUAGUUGUCACUCAAAUAAAAUUUAAACCAAAGUUGAAGAGCAUACAAGUCUGUAUUAUAUAAUAUUAAUUUUUGAACAAUCUGAUCAAUAAAUAAUAUAUUUAUA